RNAcentral lists this long non-coding RNA (231 nucleotides) under Anser brachyrhynchus (Pink-footed goose). Its description in RNAcentral is "lncRNA (ENSABRG00000009985.1)". The record is from RNAcentral. Lineage: Eukaryota; Metazoa; Chordata; Aves; Anseriformes; Anatidae.
GGAGAACAGCUAAUCAAAGGCUAGUGCAGAAAACUGAUUUCAGCUGUCUCUUGAUAGGUUUCACAUUUUUCAGUCAUCUUCCCCCCUCCCAAUACAGUCCCCUUCCCUAAAACUGGGAGGAAAGCAAAGGCAAGUUUAAAAUCUCCAGAAAUGCAUGUCUAUCUACAGGAAAUUAAGGUGAGCUGGGAGCUUGAAAACAACUGUGUGCCAUGCCUCUGUAUUCCUGGAUAA